This 458-nucleotide ribosomal RNA is filed under the name uncultured bacterium. Its description in RNAcentral is "partial 16S ribosomal RNA". It matches the Rfam family "Bacterial small subunit ribosomal RNA", at positions 28 to 507 of the family's 1533-position model. The record is from RNAcentral.
GAUAAACGCUGGCGGCGUGCAUGAGACAUGCAAGUCGAACGAAGGAUCGGGCUUGCUCGAUCCUUAGUGGCGGACGGCUGAGUAACGCGUAGGUGACCUACCCCGAAGUGGGGAAUAACUGCCCGAAAGGGUGGCUAAUACCGCAUGUGGUCGCACGUUCAUUCGUGCGAGUAAAGCCGCAAGGCGCUUCGGGAGGGGCCUGCGUCCGAUUAGCUCGUUGGUGGGGUAAUGGCUUACCAAGGCGACGAUCGGUAGGUGGUCUGAGAGGACGAUCACCCAGACUGGGACUGAGACACGGCACAGAAUCUUACGGGAGGCAGCAGUCGGGAAUUUUGCUCAAUGGGGGAAACCCUGAAGGAGCAACGCCGCGUGAGGGAUGAAGGCCUUCGGGUUGUAAACCUCUUUUGUCAGGGACGAUGAUGACGGUACCUGGCGAAUAAGCCACGGCUAACUACGUG